UCUGGCUUGUAUCUGGUGCAUGAAGAAAUGGCUGACACGUUAGUUGCAGUCUACCUCCACCAAUAGACAUCUUGACACCACUUUUAAAUCUGCCCUCAAAGUUACAACCUGCGCUUUCAGGGUGGAAAACAAAGGUCGCCAUCCAGAUUAGCUGCUAUCUCCCAGUUCAAGCACUUUUGCUGUCUGGACACUGGUUCCUGUGGACGGGGUGUUACAAGCUUCACUGUCUGAUAUAGAAGUGAUGAGCAUCCAUAAGGACACAUG
Long non-coding RNA from Ornithodoros turicata, 264 nucleotides. RefSeq lists it as uncharacterized. The record is from RefSeq and is a predicted model, not a curated record. Lineage: Eukaryota; Metazoa; Arthropoda; Arachnida; Ixodida; Argasidae. The transcript has 3 exons.